RNAcentral lists this ribosomal RNA (253 nucleotides) under uncultured bacterium. RNAcentral's name for it is "partial 16S ribosomal RNA". It matches the Rfam family "Bacterial small subunit ribosomal RNA", at positions 524 to 776 of the family's 1533-position model. The record is from RNAcentral.
UACGUAGGCAGCAAGCGUUGUUCGGAGUUACUGGGCGUAAAGAGUGCGUAGGCGGUCCUGUAAGUUUGGUGUGAAAUCUCCCGGCUCAACUGGGAGGGUGCGCCGAAGACUGCAGGGCUUGAGUAUGGGAGAGGUAAGCGGAAUUCCUGGUGUAGCGGUGAAAUGCGUAGAUAUCAGGAGGAACACCUGUGGUGUAGACAGCUUACUGGACCAUAACCGACGCUGAGGCACGAAAGCGUGGGUAGCAAACAGG